CGGGGUAUAGCGCAGCCUGGUAGCGCACCUGCUUUGGGAGCAGGGAGUCGGGGGUUCAAAUCCCUCUACCCCGA
This 74-nucleotide transfer RNA is filed under the name Thioalbus denitrificans. RNAcentral describes it as "Ectothiorhodospiraceae bacterium Su4 tRNA". It matches the Rfam family "tRNA". Rfam says of the family: Transfer RNA (tRNA) molecules are approximately 80 nucleotides in length. Their secondary structure includes four short double-helical elements and three loops (D, anti-codon, and T loops). Lineage: Bacteria; Pseudomonadati; Pseudomonadota; Gammaproteobacteria; Chromatiales; Ectothiorhodospiraceae. The record is from Rfam by way of RNAcentral. RNAcentral also lists the same sequence under 1 other name.